RNAcentral lists this ribosomal RNA (1259 nucleotides) under uncultured bacterium. Its description in RNAcentral is "bacterial SSU rRNA". It matches the Rfam family "Bacterial small subunit ribosomal RNA", at positions 214 to 1501 of the family's 1533-position model. The record is from RNAcentral.
UGCACUCGAGGAUGAGUUCGCGCAACAUUAGCUUGUUGGUGAGAUAAAAGCUCACCAAGGCUACGAUGUUUAGCCGGCCUGAGAGGGUGAACGGCCACACUGGAACUGAGACACGGUCCAGACUCCUACGGGAGGCAGCAGUGGGGAAUCUUGCACAAUGGGGGAAACCCUGAUGCAGCGAUGCCGCGUGAGUGAAGAAGGCCUUUGGGUUGUAAAGCUCUUUCGUCGGGGAAGAAAAUGACUGUACCCGAAUAAGAAGGUCCGGCUAACUUCGUGCCAGCAGCCGCGGUAAUACGAAGGGACCUAGCGUAGUUCGGAAUUACUGGGCUUAAAGAGCUCGUAGGUGGUUAGAAAAGUUAAUGGUGAAAUCCCAAGGCUUAACCUUGGAACUGCCAUUAAAACUUUUUAACUAGAGUAUGAUAGAGGUAAGCGGAAUUUCUAGUGUAGAGGUGAAAUUCGUAGAUAUUAGAAAGAACACCAAUUGCGAAGGCAGCUUUCUGGAUCAUUACUGACACUGAGGAGCGAAAGCAUGGGUAGCGAAGAGGAUUAGAUACCCUCGUAGUCCAUGCCGUAAACGAUGUGUGCUAGACGUUGGAAAUUUAUUUUUCAGUGUCGCAGCAAAAGCGUUAAGCACACCGCCUGGGGAGUACGACCGCAAGGUUAAAACUCAAAUGAAUUGACGGGGACCCGCACAAGUAGUGGAGCAUGUGGUUUAAUUCGAAGAUACGCGCAGAACCUUACCAACACUUGACAUGUUCGUCGCGACUCUAAGAGAUUAGAGUCUUCGGUUCGGCCGGACGAAACACAGGUGCUGCAUGGCUGUCGUCAGCUCGUGUCGUGAGAUGUUGGGUUAAGUCCCGCAACGAGCGCAACCCUUACUUUUAGUUGCCAUCAUUUAGUUGGGCACUCUAAAAGAACUGCCAGUGAUAAGCUGGAGGAAGGUGGGGAUGACGUCAAGUCCUCAUGGCCCUUACGUGUUGGGCUACACACGUGCUACAAUGGUACUUACAAUGAGAUGCAAAGAGGCGACUCUAAGCUAAUCCCAAAAAGGUACCUCAGUUCGGAUUGUACUCUGCAACUCGAGUACAUGAAGCUGGAAUUACUAGUAAUCGUGGAUCAGCGCGCCACGGUGAAUACGUUCCCGGGUCUUGUACACACCGCCCGUCACACCAUGGAAGUUGGUUACACCUUAAGGCAAAGCUUAAAACCUUUGACUACGGUACGAUCAGCGACUGGGGUGAAGUCGUAACAAGGUAACC